RNAcentral lists this ribosomal RNA (442 nucleotides) under uncultured bacterium. RNAcentral describes it as "partial 16S ribosomal RNA". It matches the Rfam family "Bacterial small subunit ribosomal RNA", at positions 338 to 795 of the family's 1533-position model. The record is from RNAcentral.
CCUACGGGUGGCAGCAGUGGGGAAUAUUGGGCAAUGGGCGCAAGCCUGACCCAGCAACGCCGCGUGAAGGAAGAAGGCUUUCGGGUUGUAAACUUCUUUUUAGAGGGAAGAGCAGAAGACGGUACCUCUUGAAUAAGCCAUGGCUAACUACGUGCCAGCAGCCGCGGUAAUACGUAGGUGGCAAGCGUUGUCCGGAUUUACUGGGUGUAAAGGGCGUGUAGGCGGGCUGACAAGUCAGAUGUGAAAUUCCGGGGCUCAACCCCGGAACUGCAUUUGAAACUGUUGGUCUUGAGUAUCGGAGAGGCAGGCGGAAUGCCUGGUGUAGCGGUGAAAUGCGUAGAUAUUAGGAAGAACACCAGUUGCGAAGGCAGCCUGCUAGACGACAACUGACGGUGAGGCGCGAAAGCGUGGGGAGCAAACAGGAUUAGAUACCCCUGUAGUC